RNAcentral lists this long non-coding RNA (1867 nucleotides) under Callithrix jacchus (white-tufted-ear marmoset). Its description in RNAcentral is "lncRNA (ENSCJAG00000084470.1)". Lineage: Eukaryota; Metazoa; Chordata; Mammalia; Primates; Cebidae. The record is from RNAcentral.
AGCACAUCCAAGCAUGUAUAAACCAUUUAAUUUUGAGUAAGAGGGUGCCACUAAACAAGUCUUUUAAUUAAUGAGGUUGGUCCACUGAGUGUCUACAUGGGGAAAAGUAGACCUUAAUUCUCACACCAUAUACAGAAAUGAAUUACAAGUGGAUUUCUAGAUCUCAAUCUGCGGCUAAACAACAAUACUUCUAGAAUGAGAAUACAGACGUGGGGCAUGGUGGCUCACUCCUGUAAUCCCAGCCCUUUGGUAGGCCAAGGCAGGCAGGUCAUGUGACGUCAGGAAUUCAUAAUCAGCCUGGCCAACAUGGUGAAAGCUGUCUCUACCAAAAAAUAAGAAAACUAGCAUACCAGUAAUGAGGUAACUCGAAUCUCUGCCACCGCUGACACAGCCGCAGUCACUUAGGCUGGGACUGCUCAGACUCGCCAGUUCGCCUAACGGUGCACAUCUCUGGGAUAUGGGGGAUACCAGAGUACCUGGAGAACACCCAUGUUCAAACUGCACAUCAUGGCCCCAGCCGCAACAUUGUAACAAAACGAAAUGGAAUUAAACAGGAAUUCAAGGGCCUGCUGUACUUGCAGCAGAUUGGAAACGCCGAUAAAAUUUUGGGCUCCUGUCUUCUGUCUCCUGACAAUCCUGGAGUUUUUCCAUGUGGCUGCAUCAUAUCUCAUGCCUCCUGUCUCUAGGAACUUGCCUUGGGCUACAUCUAUACUUGAUGGAAAGAACUGCACAUUACUCAAAGAAUCUAAACUAAGAACUGGUAAGCCUGAAUCUUAGGAAGAUAAAGGUAUUUGUUUGUAUGGAAUAUGUAGGAAGAAAUAUAUGUGUUAAAAGGAGUCACGAUCGUUGGGCUAUGGGAGACGUUUGGGUAUGAAUCAACAGGCAUCCACUUACGUGGCUUUGCUAAUAGGUAGCUUUUAUUUAGAAAGCCCCGUGUCUCGGUCAAUAUGAUUGCAGUAAACCUAAGGAAAGCAAGUCACUGGAACUUGGUGAACUAGCGGCUCCCAGUCCCCAGGCCACAGUGGUUGGUUCACAUCUGCACACAUCACCAUUUCAGAGAUUCAAAGUCAUCAUGAGAAUUUUGCUGAACUCUCUGAAACAGUGGCAGAUUGCAUCUCUGAAUGGAUGGGAAGCUAAUAAGUGAAACUAAGGACUACUGCCACUAUCUUGCUUGAUCAUGGAGCCUGAAGAAAGAAACAGUUCUGAAUGCCUCGCCUAAGCCAUGAAUUCAAUUGCAUUUGAAUCAACCCUACCAUAAGUGUACUCAGCAUGUGAAACAAUCAGUCAUCUCUUUCUUCAGCCAGUCCUGAUUAUAUUGACUGUCUUUAUGUGAAGAAUCUUAAGUAAAAUGUUCCUGUUAGACUUUGACGAGAAAAACAGAACCACAUAAAUAAAUAAAAAUACAAUUAUUUUGCAGAUUGGGAAUUAUAGGGAAAAGUGUCCCUCCACCUUGUGCAGAAGUCCCUUACUUGAGGUUACUCUAGAAUAUAUUAUCCUUGAAUGUUGCACAUUCCCCCCCAUCCCAUUUAAGCAUUUUAUGCAUAUUAUCUGGGGCUACAAAUAGCAAUAAGGCUCUGGCAAGAAUAGAAGUCAAAGGAACAUUAGUGUGUGAAUAGCAAACAGCAGAGCCACAACCAGUGGAGAAGGUUUGUCGACAAGCACGUCCAUAUAUUUACUGUUACAGCCAGGAGACGUUCCGGGAAAUAUCGCUUCGUUGUGAAGGAAAUCUGGCUAAAAUACCCUUUACCCCAUUUACACUAUUCUAGAUUAUUUGUAUACCAAUAUACACGAUCAUCCAUUCUGGUCUUUUUGCUGUUCUCUGUUCCUUCUUAGAAAGAGACUUACAUUAAUCAAAGUUCUGUCAAAC